Long non-coding RNA from Oreochromis aureus, 1669 nucleotides. Lineage: Eukaryota; Metazoa; Chordata; Actinopteri; Cichliformes; Cichlidae. The record is from Ensembl.
GGGGAAACAAUUUUUGACGGGGGUAACUACUUUGGCACAACACCGGCUUUGUUACCCUCUAGUCUCCGUGUACUUCAGAUACAUGUAUUUAUGCUGUUUUUAUGCGUAAUAAAAGGAAUAAAACACUAAUCUUGGCACGUCGCCUCCAGCAGGAAGUGAUCCGCUCAGCAGGCACUGCUCUCGUUAGCUACCAGGUUCAUUUGACGGGGAAAGAAAAAUGAGCCAGAAACAGCAGAAAACGACAUCCGUCCCCACAGUCUGUGCGGUCAGGGAGAUAGCGACCUUAGAGAGUUGAUACCCAGGCAUAUGUACACGCCGCAGUUUGGAAACAACAUCUGCACUUCAGGUACGCUGGAUUCUUCUGAUACUCACUUAAAUGUGUCCCUGGUGUCCAGCAGGCUGAAGAUCGACAUCUGGAGUUUCUCUCUGAAGCCUGACUUCCUCCUUGUGCUUCUGUGGCUUAUGCGGCCAUAAAUUCGUCACCAUGGCGACCAGCUGGAUUAUUGAAAGUCCCCCGUCUGACUUUCUGAGUGUUCACUGUGGCUCUGCUCUGCAGCUGGUCUCCUUUUCCACUUUGCAGUCACUUGAUGUUGAAGAGAGGAAAGCCAGAGGAACAACGAUCCCAGAUGUUACAGCUGCUGUUACAAGGAUCGCUGUGAUCACUGUGAUCCAUGUCCUAUCAGAGGACUCUGAUGGCUGUGAGGACAAGAAGACAGAAACCAGGGAAACGUGUCAUAAUUAAAAAUGUCCCCUUACACACAAACACAAACAGACAAUGAGCUCCACCCGUGAAGUGAACUGACUGUGCAAGGCAUCAAAUCCAGGUGUUCGUGGAAAGCCUGCGUGCUGUGAUAUCACCCCACUGUCCUCCACUCAAACACUGACUGCAGAUCUGAGUUAUUGGCGCGUUUAACGAGCCAUCAACGUUUAAAAGUUCAGUGUGUAGCUAUGUAAAUGUGGUCGGUGUACUCACCGUCGGUGUGCUACCGGCUGCUGUGGGGACUUGAGGGUGGACUCGCAGGCGGACAGCAGAGCGGUGUCUCUCCCACUUGUCUAUGUCACAGUAAUAAACUCCUUCAUCUUGUUGCUGGACUCUCUUUAUGGUGAGGGACAGGUCUGCUUGUCGGUCCCACUCUGGUGGUAUCGACACCCGGCUUGUGUUAACGUCUUCCCCGUAUGUGAUUCCUCCUGUUCCAUCCAGCUGAAGCACCGCGUUUCCAUUUCUCCUCCAGCGCGCAGAUUUCACCGACUGACCCGCGGUGACGGAGCGGCACUGGAGUGUGGCAUCCUCGCCCUCGGAUACAUCAACUUCAGAGGGGACAAAUACUUCCAGCUUGAUCGCUUCCAAGUCUUUGUCGUUGCAUGUAAACUCGUACAGCCCUUCGUCGUUCAGAUCUGCGUUGUCCAGGAUGAGAGAGAGCCCUCUUUGAUUCACGCGGUGUGGAUGUUGUGGUCCGGGUUUCCAGACGUUUUCCAGGGAGGCGAUCAGCUGCGUACUGGCAUCUUUCCUUCGCAGAUUCAGUCUCCCCCGUCCCUUCAGGCACUCCUCUGACAGCAGAAACUCAACGUCAUCUCCUAAAGGAGCUUGGAUCAACUUUCCGAAAACCUCGCUGCAUAAAAAUAGAAGAAUGCACAAAAAGCUCAGAGUCUUCAUCCUGUGAAUGAGGAG